This 1000-nucleotide ribosomal RNA is filed under the name uncultured bacterium. Its description in RNAcentral is "bacterial SSU rRNA". It matches the Rfam family "Bacterial small subunit ribosomal RNA", at positions 355 to 1375 of the family's 1533-position model. The record is from RNAcentral.
UGGGGAAUAUUGCACAAUGGGCGCAAGCCUGAUGCAGCAACGCCGCGUGAAGGAAGACGGUUUUCGGAUUGUAAACUUCUGUUCUUAGUGAAGAAUAAUGACGGUAGCUAAGGAGCAAGCCACGGCUAACUACGUGCCAGCAGCCGCGGUAAUACGUAGGUGGCAAGCGUUGUCCGGAAUUACUGGGUGUAAAGGGAGCGCAGGCGGGUGAUCAAGUCAGCUGUGAAAACUACGGGCUUAACCCGUAGACUGCAGUUGAAACUGUUCAUCUUGAGUGAAGUAGAGGUUGGCGGAAUUCCGAGUGUAGCGGUGAAAUGCGUAGAUAUUCGGAGGAACACCGGUGGCGAAGGCGGCCAACUGGGCUUUAACUGACGCUGAGGCUCGAAAGUGUGGGGAGCAAACAGGAUUAGAUACCCUGGUAGUCCACACUGUAAACGAUGAUUGCUAGGUGUGGGGGGUCUGACCCCUUCCGUGCCGGAGCUAACGCAAUAAGCAAUCCACCUGGGGAGUACGACCGCAAGGUUGAAACUCAAAGGAAUUGACGGGGACCCGCACAAGCAGUGGAUUAUGUGGUUUAAUUCGAAGCAACGCGAAGAACCUUACCAGCACUUGACAUCCAACUAACGAAAUAGAGAUAUAUUAGGUGCCCUUCGGGGAAAGUUGAGACAGGUGGUGCAUGGUUGUCGUCAGCUCGUGUCGUGAGAUGUUGGGUUAAGUCCCGCAACGAGCGCAACCCUCGCCAUUAGUUGCUACGCAAGAGCACUCUAAUGGGACCGCUACCGACAAGGUGGAGGAAGGUGGGGACGACGUCAAAUCAUCAUGCCCCUUAUGUGCUGGGCUACACACGUAAUACAAUGGCCAUCAACAGAGAGAAGCAAUACCGCGAGGUGGAGCAAAACUUCAAAAAUGGUCUCAGUUCGGACUGCAGGCUGCAACCCGCCUGCACGAAGUUGGAAUUGCUAGUAAUCGUGGAUCAGCAUGCCACGGUGAAUACGUUCCC